Molecule: ribosomal RNA, 433 nt
Filed under: uncultured bacterium
Lineage: Bacteria
Description: partial 16S ribosomal RNA
Rfam family: Bacterial small subunit ribosomal RNA
Source: RNAcentral
AACGAACGCUGGCGGCAUGCCUAACACAUGCAAGUCGAACGAGACCUUCGGGUCUAGUGGCGCACGGGUGCGUAACGCGUGGGAACCUGCCCUUAGGUUCGGAAUAACUCCCCGAAAGGGGUGCUAAUACCGGUUAAUGUCUUCGGACCAAAGAUUUAUCGCCUUUGGAUGGGCCCGCGUUGGAUUAGCUAGUUGGUAGGGUAAAAGCCUACCAAGGCGACGAUCCAUAGCUGGUUGGAGAGGAUGAUCAGCCACACUGGGACUGCGACACGGCCCAGACUGCUACGGGAGGGAGCAGUGGGGAAUAUUGGACGAUGGGCGAAAGCCUGAUCCAGCAAUGCCGCGUGAGUGAUGAAGGCCUUAGGGUUGUAAAGCUCUUUUACCCGGGAUGAUAAUGACAGUACCGGGAGAAUAAGCUCCGGCUAACUCCGUG